This 280-nucleotide ribosomal RNA is filed under the name uncultured bacterium. Its description in RNAcentral is "partial 16S ribosomal RNA". It matches the Rfam family "Bacterial small subunit ribosomal RNA", at positions 506 to 784 of the family's 1533-position model. The record is from RNAcentral.
UGCCAGCAGCCGCGGUAAUACGUAGGGGGCGAGCGUUGUCCGGAAUCAUUGGGCGUAAAGGGCUCGUAGGCGGCUUAGUAAGUCGGCCGUGAAAACCCAGGGCUCAACCCUGGGACGCCGGUCGAUACUGCUAUGGCUUGGGUCCGGUAGAGGAGAGUGGAAUUCCCGGUGUAGCGGUGAAAUGCGCAGAUAUCGGGAGGAACACCAGUAGCGAAGGCGGCUCUCUGGGCCGGUACCGACGCUGAGGAGCGAAAGCGUGGGGAGCAAACAGGAUUAGAUA